CUGCCCAUUCCCUCCCCCAAUUUAAUACACUGCCCCCUUUCUCAAAUGAAUACACUGUCCUACCCUCCCCAAUUUAGCACACUACACAGGAAGGUCCUCCAAGCCUCUCUUCCCCUACCUUAAGAUGAGCUGAGUCCUCCAGUUCCAGCUCUUCUCUGCUCAAGCAGACCAGACACUCUUUUGGCACUGCGAGCAGGAGGGAAAGGGUAGUGGCUGGCCUGCGGAAGCAGACAAUCGACCGUGAAGGGAAGACAAAAAUCAAACAGGAAAUAUCUUUCCUUUCUUGCGGCUGGUCGCAGCCACAACACAAAGUGGUAAAACAAAAAGGAGGAAGAGUCUGCGCUAAUUCAAUUAAGCAGCAACCCUAAAAGGGAAAUCCCUCACGAAACCCUUAUGUAAAAAAUGCAAGAAAAAAGGGGGGUCAAGGGCUGCGCUUGGGUAAAAAAAUUAAAAGUGUAUAAAAUCGUAUAUUAAUAAAAUAAACAGUGAUAA
Pelobates cultripes (western spadefoot toad) is the source of this 492-nucleotide non-coding RNA. NCBI's taxonomy places the organism in Eukaryota, Metazoa, Chordata, Amphibia, Anura, Pelobatidae. The record is from the annotation of a GenBank genome assembly.